ACACGUCUACAUUAGAUACCCGCGUAGUCCCAGCCGUAAACUAUGCGCGUUAGGUGUAUCGGUGACCACGAGUUACCGAGGUGCCGAAGGGAAACCGUGAAACGUGCCGCCUGGGAAGUACGGUCGCAAGGCUGAAACUUAAAGGAAUUGCGGGGAGCACCACAACAGGUGGAGCCUGCGGUUUAAUUGGACUCAACGCCGGGAAGCUCACCGGAUAAGACAGCGGAAUGAUUGCCGGGCUGAAGACUCUGCAUGACUAGCUG
RNAcentral lists this ribosomal RNA (263 nucleotides) under uncultured archaeon. RNAcentral describes it as "partial 16S ribosomal RNA". It matches the Rfam family "Archaeal small subunit ribosomal RNA", at positions 719 to 982 of the family's 1478-position model. The record is from RNAcentral.